UGGGAUGUAGCUCAGUGGUAGAGUGCUUGCCUAACAUGCAUGAGAGCCUGGGUUCAAUCCAUAGUAUUGUAA
RNAcentral lists this transfer RNA (72 nucleotides) under Fukomys damarensis (Damara mole-rat). It matches the Rfam family "tRNA". Rfam says of the family: Transfer RNA (tRNA) molecules are approximately 80 nucleotides in length. Their secondary structure includes four short double-helical elements and three loops (D, anti-codon, and T loops). Lineage: Eukaryota; Metazoa; Chordata; Mammalia; Rodentia; Bathyergidae. The record is from Rfam by way of RNAcentral.